This 265-nucleotide ribosomal RNA is filed under the name uncultured prokaryote. Its description in RNAcentral is "partial 16S ribosomal RNA". It matches the Rfam family "Bacterial small subunit ribosomal RNA", at positions 524 to 788 of the family's 1533-position model. The record is from RNAcentral.
UACGUAGGUGGCGAGCGUUGUCCGGACUUACUGGGCUUAAAGGGAGCGUAGGCGGACUUUUAAGUGAGAUGUGAAAUACCCGGGCUCAACUUGGGUGCUGCAUUUCAAACUGGAAGUCUAGAGUGCAGGAGAGGAGAAUGGAAUUCCUAGUGUAGCGGUGAAAUGCGUAGAGAUUAGGAAGAACACCAGUGGCGAAGGCGAUUCUCUGGACUGUAACUGACGCUGAGGCUCGAAAGCGUGGGGAGCAAACAGGAUUAGAUACCCU